GCAAACUUGGUCAUUUAGAGGAAGUAAAAGUCGUAACAAGGUUUCCGUAGGUGAACCUGCGGAAGGAUCAUUAACGAGUUAGGGUCUUCCAGGCCCGACCUCCCAACCCAAUGUUUACUACACCGUUUGUUGCUUCGGCGAGCCCGUCUUCACGGACCGCCGGGGGACCGUCAUAGGUCUCCUGGCCCGCGCCCGUCGGUAGCCUCUAAAACUCUUUAACCAAACAUGUUUUGACUAAGUACCAAUUGUUAAUUAAAAACAAAACUUUCAACAACGGAUCUCUUGGUUCUGGCAUCGAUGAAGAACGCAGC
Molecule: unclassified non-coding RNA, 311 nt
Filed under: uncultured fungus
Lineage: Eukaryota; Fungi
Description: partial contains small subunit ribosomal RNA, internal transcribed spacer 1, and 5.8S ribosomal RNA
Rfam family: Eukaryotic small subunit ribosomal RNA (bases 1-73)
Source: RNAcentral